UACGUAGGGAGCAAGCGUUGUCCGGAAUCAUUGGGCGUAAAGCGCGUGUAGGCGGCUUUGCAAGUCGGGUGUGAAAGCCCUCGGCUCAACCGAGGAAGUGCGCCCGAAACUGCAGAGCUUGAGUACCGGAGAGGAUGGCGGAAUUCCCCAAGUAGAGGUGAAAUUCGUAGAUAUGGGGAGGAACACCGGUGGCGAAGGCGGCCAUCUGGACGGAUACUGACGCUGAGACGCGAAAGCGUGGGGAGCAAACAGG
Molecule: ribosomal RNA, 253 nt
Filed under: uncultured bacterium
Lineage: Bacteria
Description: partial 16S ribosomal RNA
Rfam family: Bacterial small subunit ribosomal RNA
Source: RNAcentral